Molecule: long non-coding RNA, 640 nt
Filed under: Elaeis guineensis (African oil palm)
Lineage: Eukaryota; Viridiplantae; Streptophyta; Magnoliopsida; Arecales; Arecaceae
Description: long non-coding RNA (EGUI_LNC069911)
Source: RNAcentral
GCAUAUCGAAUCUUUUCUUCAUCAAUACACUCUUGGAUAGCGAAGGCCUUCUCCAUCUCCAUUAUCCAGUUAUCAGCCUCCAAAGGUUCAGUAGUCCCCUUGAAAGCUGGAGGUACAAGCUUUUUAAAUUCUGAAAUAUUGUUCCAUUAUACUGGUUGCUCUCCAUGUUGUGGUGGUGGAUGCUGAUGUUGUUGUGUAUCUCGUUGUAUCUGCUGUUGUUCAAGCAUUUGCUGCUGUAUUUGUUGUUGUACUUGUACCAUCCUGAUAGGGUCUGCAUUAACUGAGCCAUAUCUGGUUCCUGAUGUGCUCUCGAAGUAUUCCCAUUAGGAUCUACGACUCCCUCCUCCUGAGGGGUGCCACUGAUCAGAUGGGGAGUGCUACCAUCCCGUGGUUGUGAAUGUCUCUCUUGUAAUUCCUUGAGUAGUUCUUGUCAUUCUACGGGGAGGCAUGAUAACCUUGUAGUAGUAAAACCUUAUUAGAUUUAUUUAUCUAUUUGUUAGGAUGGGUUUAUUAUGAUGUUCAUACUUUAACAUCCCAAUAUUUCUAAUGUUUACCCCCCUACACUCAUACUAUGUCUAAUUUUUUAUGUGUCAUAAUUUAUCCACUUAUGCUCUGAUACCAUAUUAAUUGUCACGCCCUC